RNAcentral lists this ribosomal RNA (250 nucleotides) under uncultured prokaryote. RNAcentral describes it as "partial 16S rRNA". It matches the Rfam family "Bacterial small subunit ribosomal RNA", at positions 525 to 775 of the family's 1533-position model. The record is from RNAcentral.
ACGUAUGGGGCGAGCGUUGUUCGGAAUUAUUGGGCGUAAAGGGCGUCUAGGCGGGGGAUUAAGUUAGAUGUGAAAGCUAUGGGCUCAACCCAUAAAUUGCAUCUAAGACUGGUUCUCUUGAGUUCGGGAGAGGAGAGCGGAAUUCCAGGUGGGGGGGUGAAAGGCGUGGUAAUCGGGAGGACCCCAGUGGGGGAGGGGGGUUCCCUGGCUAGGGACUACCGUUGAAGGGCGAAGCCGGGGGAGCGAACAG